GUGUUAGAAGCUAAAGUGGUCGAAGCGUCUGGUUGUGGUCCAGAAGAUAGUGAGUUCGAGUCUCAUUUAACACC
Molecule: transfer RNA, 74 nt
Filed under: Cellulophaga phage phi17:2
Lineage: Duplodnaviria; Heunggongvirae; Uroviricota; Caudoviricetes
Also listed under: 4 other names
Rfam family: tRNA
About the family: Transfer RNA (tRNA) molecules are approximately 80 nucleotides in length. Their secondary structure includes four short double-helical elements and three loops (D, anti-codon, and T loops).
Source: Rfam by way of RNAcentral